CCUACGGGCGGCAGCAGUGAGGAAUAUUGGUCAAUGGGCGGAAGCCUGAACCAGCCAAGUCGCGUGAGGGAUUAAGGCCCUGCGGGUCGUAAACCUCUUUUGCCGGGGAGCAGAGGUCCGGACGUGUCCGGGCCGGGAGAGUACCCGGAGAAAAAGCAUCGGCUAACUCCGUGCCAGCAGCCGCGGUAAUACGGAGGAUGCGAGCGUUAUCCGGAUUUAUUGGGUUUAAAGGGUGCGUAGGCGGACUGUUAAGUCAGCGGUAAAAGCCCGGGGCUCAACCCCGGCGAGCCGUUGAAACUGGCUGUCUUGAGAUGUCGAGAGGUAUGCGGAAUGCGCAGUGUAGCGGUGAAAUGCUUAGAUAUUGCGCAGAACUCCGAUUGCGAAGGCAGCAUACCGGCGCUCAACUGACGCUCAUGCACGAAAGUGUGGGUAUCGAACAGGAUUAGAUACCCCAGUAGUC
Molecule: ribosomal RNA, 460 nt
Filed under: uncultured bacterium
Lineage: Bacteria
Description: partial 16S ribosomal RNA
Rfam family: Bacterial small subunit ribosomal RNA
Source: RNAcentral